AUGGCCCACUGGAUUGUGUAUGCCAUUGCCCUGGCUUAUCAGGCACAGGGUGUGCCUGCUCACUCUACUAGAAGUGUUGCAUCCUCCUGGGCGCUGGCUCGUGGCACCUCGCUGAAAGAUAUUUGUAGAGCCUUUGUGUGGAGCUGGUAUCCUCCUGUGUUCUCACCUCAAAUGCGUAGAGGCACUGAGAGGCCCCGGUUAGUGUCGGCUUGCUAUAACUGCUCUAGAGUGUCUACACUGUAUACCCUGUUGAGCUCCUACAUCCCCUCGGCAGCCAGACACACUGGAACGUCUGGUGCCAAGCAUUCAUUCGAUGAAUCCUUAACCCUCUGGAGUCGAUUAACGCGUAUACGCGUUUUGGGGUAUUUUCUCCUGAUAACCCCGAAAAGAACUUAAAUUACACUUUCAGUUUUGAUCGUACAGAUAAGUGCAAUACAUCAAUCGAAUCUGUAAAGGGUCUACUUUUUGUAUACAGACAUAAUAACAACAAAACUUUGUGCACUUAUAAAAUAAAGAUAACAAACAAGGAGUGCUGUCUGCAGCCUUUGUCUGCGCUGAUCUUCAGAUACAAAUGCGUCAUUAAAAUGAACUGUAACUCAGUGAAUACUCAACGAAGAGACAUGAGAGAGAUAUCUAUAGAAAGCCUGACAUGUCUACUUUUAAACUAAACAAGUGCUGCUGAAAACAAAUAUUCUGUGAUAAAGUAAUCCAUAUGAAAACAACGCGAUGUCCGUUUUUCACGUCUCCCUUCAUUAUCUUAUAAUGCGACCACGCCCCCGCGCCGAGCGCUUUUUGAGAUUCAAAUGUUUCACUGAAGCGCGCGGCUUUUUGAAUACGCCCACACAACAGAAGACAACGCAGCGAGAUUGUUCUUCAAGUUUUUUUUAUUUUACUGUUUGCUUCGCGAUGAGAGGAAUAAGACAUAAUUCACCCCAAAAAGAUGUGAUGUGGUUGAGGAUUUGAGAUUUGGAUUUCCUCAGAAAAAAGAAUGAAGCACUUUAUUCAGCAGAGUUCAUAAACAUGAGUAAGUCUCUUUUUAUUUAUUUAUAUACUUGUACUAGUUUUUCACAUAACGUGUAAACAUUUUACUAGUUAGACUUUUUUUCCAAAGACUUUUUUUCCAAACUAUAAUUCCUGACUAAAUGUAUAAUCAAGUGAAAUAUUAUGAAGUUUCAAUAACAAUAUACACCACUAUACCAUUCAAAAGCUUGAUGUAAAUAAUAUAAAUGUAACAAUAAAUGUAACUGUAACAAAUGUAACAAUCAUUGCUGUUCUUUCAAUUUAUCCCCCCUAAAAAACCUAAAAAAAAUAUUCUCAGCUCUUUUCAACAUUAAUAAUAAUAAUAAUAAUAAUAAUAAUAAUAAUAAUAAUAAUGAUGAUGAUGAUAAUAAUAACAAUAAAUGUUUUUUUUGUAGAAAAUAAGAUUGUUAAAAGGAUUUCUGAAGGACUGUGUGACUGGAGUAAUUAUGCAAAAAAUUCAGUUUGAAAGUCAGCUUUGAUUUUUCCUAAUAAACUGUUUAACUGCACUCACAAGUGAAUAUUAAAUUAUGUUGUGGGAUAAUUAAAUGUAUUCUAAAUAAACUACAAACAUAAAAUUAUAUAGAUUUAUUUUGUCCUCACAUUCUUUCUUGUAACUCACCCCUCUCAGUGACACAGCUGACUGAAUGGCUCAUUAUGCAGCUCAUUAUGCAGGUCUUUUGUCUUCUCAGGUGUGAAUUCAUGAUAGUUGACGCCUACUCGCAUAUGACUUUUACCAACAAAAACUGUCUUAGAAAAUUUAAAUCAAUAUAUUGUUUUUCUGUAAGUGAGUAAACAAGAUGAUUUUCACAUCAUUUAGAAAAAAAAAAUUCUAGGCUACAAGCUCCAGUUCUCAAAAUUCCUGGGAACCAAUUUUCUGUAUGUGUUUUUAUUGCCUUUUUUUCAAGUGAUUUAACAUUUUUUUUAGUUUUUUUCACUAACCACGCAUAACAUUUUUUUUCUCAAAAACACAAUCAUGUACAUUCAUGCUGCUCACAUAUUAUUAUAGCCUAGUUUGUGCUGAUUACAGUGAGAUUAGACUUUAGCCAUUUAGAUAUUUAUAAGAAACUGAAAAAAGCACAAAUGUCAGGGCAUGACAAAACUUCUCCAGGCCCCAAAAAUACCCUUAGACUCCAGAGGGUUAAGAACCGGUAGAAGGCUGGGUUCCAUAUGUGAGAUGAAUCCCAUAUGUGUAAAGUCCACU
Long non-coding RNA from Cyprinus carpio carpio, 2221 nucleotides. The record is from Ensembl. Lineage: Eukaryota; Metazoa; Chordata; Actinopteri; Cypriniformes; Cyprinidae.